RNAcentral lists this long non-coding RNA (653 nucleotides) under Nicotiana benthamiana. Its description in RNAcentral is "long non-coding RNA (NBEN_LNC028991)". Lineage: Eukaryota; Viridiplantae; Streptophyta; Magnoliopsida; Solanales; Solanaceae. The record is from RNAcentral.
AGCAAAUCAUAUUAACAUGCCUAAUAGAUUCAAAUCCGGAGGUGAUCCAAAACAGCCAACGCCUUAAGAGCUUUACAAUCGCCGCAGAUUCUUCAAAAAUAUUGUCUAAAUGGGAAGCUAACUAGGGACCUUUAUCAAGAACGGAAUAGGAACCGCAACUAGCGAUGACGGACGGAACACCUAUCGACCUCGGCUCUCCACUGAUGACUGAAGUUGACAACUGUUGCUGCCGGAAUUUCAACUUCGAACCCAAAAUUGUCACCAAUCAAAGACUGAAUAACGACGAACCAAGCUCUGAAAAAGGCGACGUGAGUUCCUAGUUAAGUUUUCAGCGAUUUGGCGGCCAUUAGUGCUAUUUUUGGUGAGUUCCGGUGGUGGAGGAACAACAGCUGAUCUGCUGUGAAGGUGAAGGAGAAGAAGCGGGGAUGUGCUGGUAUUGGAGAGGGUGGUUAUUUGUCAUAGGAGACGGUGGGGUCUUGGGCGGCUAUGAGGCUUCAGAGUUCUAGGGUAUAGGGUUCAGCUCUCAUUGAAGAAGAAGGCAUGCCCCUCUAACGUUAGGUCUUGUAUUGUCUUGUAAUUUUUUUUUGUGAAAUUAAUAUUGGCCAUAGGAUUAAAUUCAAGUAGAGGGCCGGGAUUAAAAGGUUAUGGGUUGG